GCGGAGGAUCAUUAACGAAUUGCAAUUGGGAGUUGAUGCUGGCAGUCAUAUUGUUUGGCCGCAUGUGCUUGCUCCCAAUAAUCUUUAUCCAAACACCCGUGCACGUUUUUGAGAGUUUCUGAGUCGAUUACUGUCUUCUUGGAUCCUCCUCGCUUUUUUCACUUUAUACACCGCUACCAAUAUUGAACGUGAUUUGUGCCGCAGGGCCUUUAAUGCAAUAUACAACUUUUAACAACGGAUCUCUUGGCUCUCGCAUCGAUGAAGAACGCAGCGAAAUGCGAUAAGUAAUGUGAAUUGCAGAAUUCAGUGAAUCAUCGAAUCUUUGAACGCACCUUGCGCUCCCUGGUAUUCCGGGGAGCACGCCUGUUCGAGUGUCGUGAAAUUCCUCAAGCUGAGAUUAGCUUUUCCUUUGGCAAAAGCUUUUUUUCUUAGUCUUGGUGUUGGGCUCUGCCGUGUCCUUUAUUGGGAUGGCUGGCCUUAAAAGCAUUAGCUGACCCGCUCAUCUAGGCAAUUGGUUCUACUCAGCGUGAUUAAUAAUUUUGACCGCCGAGGACAUCUUUUUUUGGGAUGGCCAGUUUCCAUUCGGGUUGCUUCUAGUCUGGUUGCACAGAUUGCUAAUCUUUGUAUGCCACAUUUUUCAGCUUUGACCUCGAAUCAGGUGGGACUACCCGCUGAACUUAAGCAUAUCAAUAAAGCGGA
RNAcentral lists this ribosomal RNA (699 nucleotides) under Clavulina rosiramea. RNAcentral describes it as "eukaryotic LSU rRNA". The stretch from base 224 to 377 matches the Rfam family "5.8S ribosomal RNA". The record is from RNAcentral. Lineage: Eukaryota; Fungi; Basidiomycota; Agaricomycetes; Cantharellales; Hydnaceae.